CAACCUCAACUCAUAUGGGACUACCCCCUGAAUUUAAGCAUAUUAAUUAGGGGAGGAAAAGAAACUAACAAGGAUUUUCUUAGUAGCGGCGAGCGAAAAGAAAUCAGUUCAGCACUAAGUCACUUUGUCUAUAUGGCAAAUGUGAGAUGCAGUGUACGGAACAUCAACAUUCUAGUAUGAGAAGUUAACGAUUUAAGUCCUUCUUAAAUGAGGCCAUUUACCCAUAGAGGGUGCCAGGCCCGUAUAACGUUAAUGAUUACUAGAUGGUGUUUCCAAAGAGUCGUGUUGCUUGAUAGUGCAGCACUAAGUGGGUGGUAAACUCCAUCUAAAACUAAAUAUAACCAUGAGACCGAUAGUAAACAAGUACCGUGAGGGAAAGUUGAAAAGAACUCUGAAUAGAGAGUUAAAUAGUACGUGAAACUGCUUAGAGGUUAAGCCCGAUGAACCUGAAUAUCCGUUAUGGAAAAUUCAUCAUUAGAAUUGUAAUAUUUUAAACAAUAUUAUAAUAAUAGUGUGCAUUUUUUCCAUAUAAGGACAUUGUAAUCUAUUAGCAUAAAUAUUUAUCAUAAA
Molecule: non-coding RNA, 570 nt
Filed under: Drosophila virilis
Lineage: Eukaryota; Metazoa; Arthropoda; Insecta; Diptera; Drosophilidae
Description: Eukaryotic large subunit ribosomal RNA
Rfam family: Eukaryotic large subunit ribosomal RNA
Source: Rfam by way of RNAcentral